AUAUCUAUUUAGACAGUGAGGUAUCAGAUUUAGAUUGUAUUGAGUAUACAGUCCACACCACAUCUAUUUAGACAGUGAGGUAUCAGAUUUAGAUUGUAUUGAGUAUACAGUCCACACCAUAUCUAUUUAGACAGUGAGGAAUCAGAUUUAGAUUGUAUUGAGUAUACAGUCCACACCAUAUCUAUUUAGACAGUGAGGUAUCAGAUUUAGAUUGUAUUGAGUAUACAGUCCACACCAUAUCUAUUUAGACAGUGAGGUAUCAGAUUUAGAUUGUAUUGAGUAUACAGUCCACACCAUAUCUAUUUAGACAGUGAGGAAUCAGAUUUAGAUUGUAUUGAGUAUACAGUCCACACCAUAUCUAUUUAGACAGUGAGUAUCAGAUUUAGAUUGUAUUGAGUAUACAGUCCACACCAUAUCUAUUUAGACAGUGAGGAAUCAGAUUUAGAUUGUAUUGAGUAUACAGUCCACACCAUAUCUAUUUAGACAGUGAGGUAUCAGAUUUAGAUUGUAUUGAGUAUACAGUCCACACCAUAUCUAUUUAGACAGUGAGGUAUCAGAUUUAGAUUGUAUUGAGUAUACAGUCCACACCAUAUCUAUUUAGACAGUGAGGAAUCAGAUUUAGAUUGUAUUGAGUAUACAGUCCACACCAUAUCUAUUUAGACAGUGAGGAAUCAGAUUUAGAUUGUAUUGAGUAUACAGUCCACACCAUAUCUAUUUAGACAGUGAGGAAUCAGAUUUAGAUUGUAUUGAGUAUACAGUCCACACCAUAUCUAUUUAGACAGUGAGGAAUCAGAUUUAGAUUGUAUUGAGUAUACAGUCCACACCAUAUCUAUUUAGACAGUGAGGUAUCAGAUUUAGAUUGUAUUGAGUAUACAGUCCACACCAUAUCUAUUUAGACAGUGAGGAAUCAGAUUUAGAUUGUAUUGAGUAUACAGUCCACACCAUAUCUAUUUAGACAGUGAGGAAUCAGAUUUAGAUUGUAUUGAGUAUACAGUCCACACCAUAUCUAUUUAGACAGUGAGGAAUCAGAUUUAGAUUGUAUUGAGUAUACAGUCCACACCAUAUCUAUUUAGACAGUGAGGAAUCAGAUUUAGAUUGUAUUGAGUAUACAGUCCACACCAUAUCUAUUUAGACAGUGAGCUAUCAGAUUUAGAUUGUAUUGAGUAUACAGUCCACACCAUAUCUAUUUAGACAGUGAAGCUGAUAUUUUAAAUGUGGCUCUAUACUCCAGCAUUUUUGAUUUCAGAUCAAAUGUUUCAUAUGAGGUGACAGUAUAUAAUGUCACCUUUUAUUUGAGGAUAUUUUAAUACAUAUCUGUUUCAACAUUUAGAAAAAUAAAAGCACUUCAUGUAUCUAGUCCCCCAUUUGAAGAAGUCUUAAGUAUUCUGACCAAUUUAAAGUAGUCAAAGGUAAUUGGUCCCAUAUUCAUUGAAAUUUGGUCGUAAAGUCAUUGUUUGCAUUUGCAGUGUGUUUUGGUUGUGUUUUUGGUUGUGUUUUGCCCAAUAAUAAAAUGGUGGAUGAUGA
Molecule: long non-coding RNA, 1524 nt
Organism: Oncorhynchus keta (chum salmon)
Lineage: Eukaryota; Metazoa; Chordata; Actinopteri; Salmoniformes; Salmonidae
Exons: 2
Source: RefSeq, a predicted model, not a curated record